Molecule: long non-coding RNA, 599 nt
Filed under: Arabidopsis lyrata
Lineage: Eukaryota; Viridiplantae; Streptophyta; Magnoliopsida; Brassicales; Brassicaceae
Description: long non-coding RNA (ALYR_LNC003135)
Source: RNAcentral
AAUUAUACUAAAUCAACAGUCACUUUAUCAAAAACUGACACAUUCACCAUCUGACACCUGUCUUAAGUCUCCAAUUUUACUCUUUUACUUUCUUUUUCUUUUUCUUUUCACACCAAUUUAGGAAAAAAAAAAACUGUUCUUUAUAAAAAAAAAAAUUGUUCUUCCCUCCCAUAUCACCCACGAUCCCUACAAUCUCCAAGCAAACAAAAUUUUUAAAUCUCAAAACUGUUCACCCACGUCUCCAUACCAAUAUUCAUCUUUACUUUCACAAGAUACUAGAGAUACAUUCAAAAAUAGUUUCUUCCCCUUGAAAUCAUAAAAGGAGCCAAUGCAAUUAUGGCUGUUCUAUACCAAAUAUGUCAUUAACUAUUGUUAUUAUUUUUUCACCCAAAUUGUUUUUUAAUAAUUAAGAAUUUCAUGUUAUUUAAUAUUUAUACAUUGAAACUCUCAUAAUUGAAAUUGUAAGGAUUUCAAACCCAAAAAAAAUUUGUUAGUUUUCAUAUUGAUUUUAAAUUAGAAAAAUCAACAUUGGUUUGUUCAGAUUGAAUUUAACAUAUCAUUCUGAGCUCAUGAUGGUAAUCCAAAUUUGAAAUAGGGAA